GCUAUGCUUAUAGUCCCAGCUACUCGGGAGGCUGAUACAUGAGGAUUGCUUCAGUCCAGGAGUUCUGGGCUAUAAUGCACUGUGCCAAUCGGGUGUCCACACUAAGUUCGUCAUCAAUAUAGUGACCUCCCGGGAGCUGGGGGCCACCAGGUUGUAUAAGGAGGGGUGAACGGGCCCAGGUCGGAGUGCUGAUCAGUAGUGGGAUGGCGCCUGUGAAUAGCCACUGCUCUCCAGCCUGGGCAACAUAGUGAGACCCCAUCUCUA
Non-coding RNA from Otolemur garnettii (small-eared galago), 264 nucleotides. NCBI's taxonomy places the organism in Eukaryota, Metazoa, Chordata, Mammalia, Primates, Galagidae. The record is from Rfam.